Ictidomys tridecemlineatus (thirteen-lined ground squirrel) is the source of this 528-nucleotide non-coding RNA. The record is from RefSeq and is a predicted model, not a curated record. Lineage: Eukaryota; Metazoa; Chordata; Mammalia; Rodentia; Sciuridae.
CCCCCCCCCUCCAAAUUCUGUUUAAAGAUAGACCACGGAAGCUUCAAUUCAUGUGAUUUUUCUCUUUCUGAAUUUCAGUUCCAGGGCUACCCAUUUUGGGACAGAAUCUAACACCAUCUCAUUCACAAGAUGUUCCCUAUAGUCAGCAUCUACUCUCAGAAGCCCUGAAAUAAGAAGAUUUGAUUUUGGUGUCUUUUCCUUUCUAAGUCCCUUUCUUUUUUUCAGGAUCUCCUUGGAUUCUCUAAGUCGGGUCUGUCGACGACUGCCCAUUCCACUAGGCUCGACCCUACAGACCUGACCCAUGCUUUAUGCCUUCUACUUUCCCUUUCCAGUUCAUCAAAAUAUCUCAGUCUUUAUUCAGGACCUUUGGAGGCAGUCUGGUUAAGACAUGAGCUGGGGCAGAGAGGGGUGCUUCCUUGAUCGUCUUCCCAGCUCCAAACCAAGUGGAACAGCUAAUCAUGUUUCAAACUACCUUCAAAAGAGCCCAGGAAAUAAGAAUGAAGAUGAGUAAAAUAAAAAGAGAAUAAG